This 180-nucleotide ribosomal RNA is filed under the name uncultured Glomeromycotina. RNAcentral's name for it is "partial small subunit ribosomal RNA". The stretch from base 40 to 180 matches the Rfam family "Eukaryotic small subunit ribosomal RNA", at positions 686 to 829 of the family's 1831-position model. The record is from RNAcentral. Lineage: Eukaryota; Fungi; Glomeromycota.
GGGUCAGCAGGUUGGUCGUGCCUUCGGUAUGCACUGGCCUUGCUGAUUCCUCCCUCUUGAUGAGCCGUAAUGUCAUUAAUUUGGUGUUGCGGGGAAUCAGGACUGUUACUUUGAAAAAAUUAGAGUGUUUAAAGCAGGCAAGCGCUUGAAUACAUUAGCAUGGAAUAAUAGAAUAGGACU